GGAGGUAAUCCCCGCCAUGUGAGAGGGCGGCACGAGCUGUGGAGGUGGGUUGUUUUUCAUUCAAAUCCCGCUGCACCUAUAAAAAGCACAACUCUGUGAGACAGAGGCUGAAAACAGAUGGGGAAAGGUGACUGAUACGAUUGUCUCUAUCUCCCUGCUUACAUUGCCGGCCAUACAUCAUCGGCAGGGCGAGAUGCAGAAGUCUGCAGGUGUCCUGACGGUGCUGGCCCUGAAACACACAGCUCUAUGUCUGGUUCUGCUGCCCCGGUUCCUCCUGGCAGCGCUGAUGCUGUGUCUCCUGGACGUCCUGUGCAUCAGGAGGAAAGUGCUGCUGAAGAUGGAGGGCAGCAGCCCCGAAGACCCGCCUGUCUGCGUCUCCGACUCCAACAAGAUGUUCACCCUGGAGUCGCUCAGGGCCGUGUGGUACGGACAGAAAUUAGACUUUUUCAAAUCGGCGCACAUUGGACUUAUCGCGCCCAACACCGAGGUUGUGCAGCUGCAGGAGCGGCGCAGGGUCCGGGUCCUAGACUAUGUGAAAGGGAGGAGACCUCUCAUCCUCAACUUCGGCAGUUGCUCCUGACCACCGUUCAUGACGCGCCUGGCUGCGUUUCAGCGCGUCGCGAGCCAGUAUGCGGACAUCGCCGACUCCCUGCUUGUAUAUAUCGAGGAGGCGCAUCCCUCGGACGGCUGGGUGAGCUCCGACGCGCCAUACCAGAUCCCCAAGCACUGCUGUCUGGAGGACAGACUGAAAGCCGCUCAGCUGAUGCACUCGGAGGUUCCCUGCUGCAAUGUGGUGGUGGAUACUAUGGACAACUCGUCCAACGCGGCUUACGGAGCCUAUUUUGAAAGACUUUAUAUCCUGAGGGAUGAGCGGGUCGUGUAUCAGGGGGGCAGGGGACCGGAGGGCUACCGGAUAUCAGAGCUGAGGAACUGGCUCGAGCAAUACCGGAAUGAUUUGGAGAAUUCCAGCAGAACAGUGGUGGUCCACGUUUAACUUAAAGAUAACCAUUAGACGCGUGAAGUGUCCACACAGUGAAGAAGUAUUCAGAUGCUGCUACAAACUCUUGACACACUGCACAUAUGACUAGGCCUAUACAUGUUGUUUUGGUUCAGAAGCAUUAUAGCAUUAUUACACAUAUUAGUAAUGUUUAUUAUGAUGUAAAACGCACGAUAGGCUUAGUUGUUCAGUUUUGCUCGUCUUGACACUAAUUAUUUGUUUGGUUGUUUGUUUUUGUAAGGAGCUGUCUUUGAUUUGAACCUGUGCAAAAGGUUUACUUAUUUCAGUUUGACCUUCAUUUGAUUAUGAUCACUUUAUUUUUAUACUAUAUGGUCUCUACCUUGUGUGUGUGUGCGUGUGCGUGUGCGUGCGUGAGUCUAAAUGGCUAAUACCUUUUACUCUAGUGUUGUUGUGAAGUUCGGUUUUUAAAGGGUUUUAAACCAGAAAACUGAUACUGAUGUUAUUUGAUACUAGAGUACUUGGCGACUAGCAAUGUCUUCAACGAACAAAUUGCAAAACGUUCUGUAAAUUGUUUAUAUUUUAUUGAACAAAUAUUUGUAAUAAAUGUUAGAACACA
Molecule: RNA transcript, 1574 nt
Organism: Salmo salar (Atlantic salmon)
Lineage: Eukaryota; Metazoa; Chordata; Actinopteri; Salmoniformes; Salmonidae
Gene name: thyroxine 5-deiodinase pseudogene
Source: RefSeq, a predicted model, not a curated record